AGAAUGUUGGUAAUGUUGAUGCUGAAAUUCUUGAAAAUGUGGUUGGUAAUGUUGAGAAUAAUAAUAAGGAGAAUGAAAGUGUUAAUCCGGAAAAUAGAGGCGAUGUUAAUUUGAAUACUUCACUUGAUAAUGAAGAUGAUGAUAAUCUGGAGGGUAAUGUUAAUGACAAUGUAGAGCAAGCAAACCCAAUUGAACAUUCGAUUGAUAUAUUUGAUCCAAGAAAUUGGGAUGCUCUUGAUUCUAAAAUGAUUGAUUUAUUAGUUAUGGAAGGUCCUA
RNAcentral lists this long non-coding RNA (276 nucleotides) under Trifolium pratense (red clover). RNAcentral's name for it is "long non-coding RNA (TPRA_LNC003687)". The record is from RNAcentral. Lineage: Eukaryota; Viridiplantae; Streptophyta; Magnoliopsida; Fabales; Fabaceae.